UACGGAAGGGGCAAGCGUUGUUCGGAAUCAUUGGGCGUAAAGGGCGCGUCGGUGGUUCUGUAUGUCUACCGUGAAAGCGUACGGCUCAACCGUAUUUUGUCGGUGGAAACUGCAGGACUUGAGGCUGGGAGGGGCUGGUGGAAUUCCCUGUGUAGCGGUGAAAUGCGUAGAUAUCUGGAGGAAUACCGGUGGCGAAGGCGGCAUCCUGGACCGGCAUUGACGCUGAUGAGCGAAAGCUAGGGGAGCAAACGGG
RNAcentral lists this ribosomal RNA (253 nucleotides) under uncultured bacterium. RNAcentral describes it as "partial 16S ribosomal RNA". It matches the Rfam family "Bacterial small subunit ribosomal RNA", at positions 524 to 776 of the family's 1533-position model. The record is from RNAcentral.